GACGAACGCUGGCGGCGUGCUUAGCACAUGCAAGUCGUACGGUAAGGCCCUUUCGGGGGUACACGAGUGGCGAACGGGUGAGUAACACGUGAGUAGCCUGCCCACAACUUUGGGAUAACGCUAGGAAACUGGUGCUAAUACUGGAUAUGUGCUCCUGCUGCAUGGUGGGGGUUGGAAAGCUCCGGCGGUUGUGGAUGGACUCGCGGCCUAUCAGCUUGUUGGUGGGGUAGUGGCCUACCAAGGCGGCGACGGGUAGCCGGCCUGAGAGGGUGACCGGCCACAUUGGGACUGAGAUACGGCCCAGACUCCUACGGGAGGCAGCAGUGGGGAAUAUUGCACAAUGGGCGCAAGCCUGAUGCAGCAACGCCGCGUGCGGGAUGACGGCCUUCGGGUUGUAAACCGCUUUCAGCAGGGACGAAGCUUUUUGUGACGGUACCUGCAGAAGAAGCACCGGCUAACUACGUG
RNAcentral lists this ribosomal RNA (465 nucleotides) under uncultured bacterium. Its description in RNAcentral is "partial 16S ribosomal RNA". It matches the Rfam family "Bacterial small subunit ribosomal RNA", at positions 28 to 507 of the family's 1533-position model. The record is from RNAcentral.